UUUAGGAUACUUCCCUAUGGUAAAUGGAUACGACUAGAUAUCACCAGUCUUAUCAUUAAACAGGAACAAAAAUCAUUUCUAACAUAACUACUCAUGACCUGGAACAUGGAAAUGUAGUCUUCUUAAAGGAACCUCAUAAAAAAAUCCACCCUUACCCUUCUACGGAAAGGACCUUACCAGUUGGAAGGAAACAAGAGCAUCAUCAAAUGCAAAAACAAAAACAAAACAAAAUGAACAAAUAAGCCUCUAAGGCAGCAGAUGAAGCUCAUCAUAAACAGUUGCAGAAGUAAACUUGAAUUGCCGCCAAGGAGUAGAUUAAAGUCUAUCUCCACCAGACCAAGAUGUGUGCUUUAAGGCUGCUUGAUUUCAGACCUAACAACUAUAGAAGGAGGAAAAGGUCAAUGUUUGGAGUGAAUUCUGGACUAACUGGGUGGAUAUAGCCUUAUCAUGAAUCACUUUAGAAGAUUGCUAUCAACAUCAUUCCAAAAAGGUGGGAAUGUGGAUUUUCCAUCAUGGGACAAUUUUCAUCGGAUUUCUGCUCUACUGGUGUCAUUAUGUGUCCUUCCCCCAAAGUAUCAAAUACUUCCAAACCUUACUUUCAUUGUAUAUGAUUUUGUAACGACACAUUUUCCUAAAAUGUUUUCCUAAGUAAUCUAUUUUCUAAGUAAAUGGCACAAAAUGAA
This is a non-coding RNA of Macaca mulatta (Rhesus monkey), 683 nucleotides long. NCBI's taxonomy places the organism in Eukaryota, Metazoa, Chordata, Mammalia, Primates, Cercopithecidae. The record is from RefSeq and is a predicted model, not a curated record.